GCCUGGCUGGUUCAGUUGGUAGAGCAUGUGACUCCUGAGCUUGGGGCUGUGAGUUCAAGCCUCAUGUUGGGCA
This 73-nucleotide transfer RNA is filed under the name Canis lupus familiaris (dog). It matches the Rfam family "tRNA". Rfam says of the family: Transfer RNA (tRNA) molecules are approximately 80 nucleotides in length. Their secondary structure includes four short double-helical elements and three loops (D, anti-codon, and T loops). Lineage: Eukaryota; Metazoa; Chordata; Mammalia; Carnivora; Canidae. RNAcentral also lists the same sequence under 1 other name. The record is from Rfam by way of RNAcentral.